Molecule: long non-coding RNA, 251 nt
Filed under: Nicotiana benthamiana
Lineage: Eukaryota; Viridiplantae; Streptophyta; Magnoliopsida; Solanales; Solanaceae
Description: long non-coding RNA (NBEN_LNC001360)
Source: RNAcentral
CCUACAAAAGAAUACACGUUUAGUAUAUCGCAUUGAGAACGUGUUUCCAACACAUCUUACUUGUGAGAUCUUUGGUCAUACAGAUUUGCUCUAAUUUCAAUCAUAAGGAGACUGCAGUUGUUUCUUUCAAAACUUCAUGCAAAAUACUAUUAGAUAAAUGAAGAUGAAUAUGAGAGAGAGCCUUACGUUCUUUUCGUUCCUUCUCCUCAUCUGACCAAGAAGCGGGCAUUUUAUCACGACCUAACAGCGCA